ACUUAAAUAUUUUAAUUAAAAUAUCAGCUUGUGGGUCUGUAGAUGUAAUGAUUUACUUUAAGUU
RNAcentral lists this transfer RNA (64 nucleotides) under Phobaeticus serratipes. RNAcentral's name for it is "tRNA-His". Lineage: Eukaryota; Metazoa; Arthropoda; Insecta; Phasmatodea; Phasmatidae. The record is from RNAcentral.